This 1127-nucleotide long non-coding RNA is filed under the name Homo sapiens (human). RNAcentral describes it as "HSALNT0357357". Lineage: Eukaryota; Metazoa; Chordata; Mammalia; Primates; Hominidae. The record is from RNAcentral.
UAAGUCUCAUGAGAUCUGAUGGGUUUAUCAGGGGUUUCUGCUUUUGCUUCUUUCUCAUUUUCUCUUGCCACUGCCAUGUAAGAAGUACCUUUUGCCUCCCGCCAUGAUUCUGAGGCCUCCCCAGCCAUGUGGAACUGAGCUCCACCGAGCCCACGCCCACCUGGAACUCCCGCUGGCCCGCAAGAAUCGCGCGCAGCCCCGGUUCCCGCUAGCGCCCCUCCCUCCACACCUCGAGGCCGAGGCCUGUACAAAGGACAAGGAAAGCAUGGACUAACACAUCUCAGCUGUAAUUGAGUUUAGCCAGAUGUACCAGCUGUCUUCUCUCAUCUUCCCCUGGGGCUACAGCUUUUAUAGAGUGAUUGGAGUUUGCUUGAGUUCGUUUCCUUCAAGUCAUGGAUAAGAAAGCCAGGGUUUUGAGAGGUGAUGGAAGGCCUUUAUGUCAACAGAACAGAUGAAGAGAACUCAGAAUUACAAAAUUUGUUUCCAACUCCACUACACCCAUUUUUGGAAGAUCUGUUUUGAAUCCACGUUUCCAAGGAUGAUUUAGAAAAAGACAGCAAACUGAACAAAGCCCUGAGGAAAUAUUAACAAGUACAACCUUUCCCUGGAAGCAAUACACAUUUUCCUGGUGCCUGUUUAUUGUCACCUUUAUCUCCUUACUUGGGCUUGACAGCAAGUGGUGAACCAGGAUUUAUCUUGUUGAGGCUCAAAGCUUUAGUGGUGUUGUCAUUCGCCAGUAGCUCUGGUUCCUCUCAGCAAAAACAGUGGAAAACACUUUUAAUUGUAAAAUACAUUAUGUUUAACUUCCACUAAAAAAAAAAGAUGGUGAAGGAAAAAGUUUUUUGUGUUUUUAUUUUGUAGAUCAAAACCUAGUAUUUAUUUUGGAAAGAUGGGUACAGUUAUUUUUUCCCCAUGUUUGUUCUAUUCCCUUUAAGCUUCUAAAGGAACAAACAAAAAAUAGCUUAACUGAAACUAACAAAGGAUGAUGAAACACUUUUAAGUCUUCAAAAAGGUAAUAUUGGAUACUUGCAAUUGCUAGCAAUAUUUGGAGUUAAGGGAUAAUGUUUAAAACUCAACUGAACUUUCUUUACAGUUGUAAGGAUUUCUAAGAGUGAGAUUCUAGGCCC